This 972-nucleotide ribosomal RNA is filed under the name Triticum aestivum (bread wheat). Its description in RNAcentral is "partial small subunit ribosomal RNA". Lineage: Eukaryota; Viridiplantae; Streptophyta; Magnoliopsida; Poales; Poaceae. The record is from RNAcentral.
AUGGUGUUACUUGACAUUAGGGGUAUGUUGCAGUCCAUGGGUAAAGACAUUGUUGAUUUCGCUCUGCCAAGCAUCGAUGAUGCGUUUGACCCAACCGAGGGCGAGGCAAGAGUGGUCAUCGAGGAAUCAACCGUUGAGUUUGACAUGGAUGACACUAAAUUGGCAUCUUCCCUGAACUUGGAGCAGAGGGCCGCAUACGACGAGAUACUAGCGGCUGUUGAACGCGGUGAUGGGGGUGUAUUCUUUGUUGAUGGCCCUAGAGGUACAGGAAAGACCUUCCUAUACAGGGCGAUGCUUGCCAAGGUGAGGAGCGAUGGCAAGAUUGGUAUCGCUACCGCGACGUCGGGCGUCGCCGCUUCUAUCAUGCCUGGCGGCAAGACUGCCCACUCGAGGUUCAAGACCCCAUUGAGUUGCAAUGAUGGAGCCUCGUGCAGCUUCACCAAGCAGAGUGGGACCGCGAAGCUGCUAAGGAUGGCCUCAUUGAUAAUAUGGGACGAGGCCAGCAUGACGAAGCGACAAGCGGUCGAGGCAUUGGACAAUAGCAUGCGCGACAUUAUGGGAAUACGCGACCGACCCUUUGGAGGAAAGACUGUUGUUUUUGGUGGGAACUUUAGGCAGGUGCUUCCGGUCGUCAGAAGGGGGUCGUGGGGCCAGAUAAUUGAUGCAACCCUCCGAAGUUCUCAUCUAUGGAAGGGUAUGCGGCAGCUUCGGCUCAUCACCAAUAUGAGGGCUCAUAAUGACACGUGGUUUGCAGAUUACUUGCUAAGGGUCGGCAAUGGCACUGAGGAUGUCGACGAUCAAGGCAACAUACUACUCCCUGAAGACAUCUGUCUGCCAUCUACAGGCGAGGUUGACGACCUGGAGAAGCUUAUUGACCACGUGUUUCCGAGUCUAGAUGACAACAUGUCUGAUUCGAAUUACAUGACACUCGCGCAAUCCUUUCCACGACAAACGACAAUGUCGACAAGAUAA